Molecule: ribosomal RNA, 491 nt
Filed under: uncultured bacterium
Lineage: Bacteria
Description: bacterial SSU rRNA
Rfam family: Bacterial small subunit ribosomal RNA
Source: RNAcentral
GGCUCAGAUUGAACGCUGGCGGAAUGCUUUACACAUGCAAGUCGAGCGGCAGCGCGGGGGCAACCCUGGCGGCGAGCGGCGAACGGGUGAGUAACAUAUCGGAACGUACCCAGUCGUGGGGGAUAACUAUCCGAAAGGAUAGCUAAUACCGCAUACGUCCUGAGGGAGAAAGCGGGGGAUCGCAAGACCUCGCGCGAUUGGAUGAGCCGACGUCGGAUUAGCUAGUUGGAGGGGUAAAGGCCCACCAAGGCGACGAUCCGUAGCUGGUCUGAGAGGAUGAUCAGCCACACUGGAACUGAGACACGGUCCAGACUCCUACGGGAGGCAGCAGUGGGGAAUAUUGGACAAUGGGCGCAAGCCUGAUCCAGCAAUGCCGCGUGUGUGAAGAAGGCCUUCGGGUUGUAAAGCACUUUUAUCAGGAACGAAAAGCGUUGGAUUAAUACUCUGACGUGCUGACGGUACCUGAGGAAUAAGCACCGGCUAACUUCGUG